RNAcentral lists this unclassified non-coding RNA (240 nucleotides) under soil metagenome. RNAcentral's name for it is "partial contains 5.8S ribosomal RNA, internal transcribed spacer 2, and large subunit ribosomal RNA". The record is from RNAcentral.
AAGACUAUAGACCUGCGGAGUACCUGCGGAGGGAUCAUUAUAGAGUGGUAAACCUCCCGUAAAAAGGGGGGGACCUCCCGUCCUUUGCAGGCUCUUUUUUAAGGGGCUUUUUUGACUUUCUGCUUCGGUGGGGUUAUCCUACCGGAACAACUUCAAAACUCUGAAUCAAAAAAAUCGUUCUGUCCGAGGGCUUUUUUAUAAAAUAAAAAAAAACUUUCAACAACGGAUCUCUAGAUCGGA